This 1793-nucleotide unclassified non-coding RNA is filed under the name Manduca sexta (tobacco hornworm). RNAcentral describes it as "biogenesis of lysosome-related organelles complex 1 subunit 5, transcript variant X3". Lineage: Eukaryota; Metazoa; Arthropoda; Insecta; Lepidoptera; Sphingidae. The record is from RNAcentral.
AUAUUUUAUCAUUACUUUUGUUACAUAAUAAAAUUCUUUGUGUGUUCGAAAGAAAUUGGUGAAGUGUGGUCACGUCUCUUUGAUCACCGCCCUUUUUUAAAUGGGGAAAUAAAAUUCAUGCAGAAAGAGUUCGAGGAAAAGCGUGGUGAUCGCGAAGUUGAAAAUCUAUUUAAUAUUUUAGAACAAUUAACAGAGAUAAAAGAUAGUGAAGCUGACAGAAUUAAUAAGAGUGGUGAAACAGGACUGCCAGUAUUUGGAGAAAAGUUGACUCAAGCCUUAAAUUUACUUGAAGAUACUGAAAAAGACUAUCUUGAAUUCCAGAAGGAGUGUGAGAAAAAACGAGCUGUCAACCGAGAAAAAAGGCAAAAAGAAUGGGAUCAGUUUAUUGAUGAUAUGAACUUCAAAUGUCAAAGAAUUGACAACGCAUUUGAAGAAAAAGAAGAAGAACUAAGAGAUUUGUAUGCAGACCUUAAUCAUAAACUAAAUAUUGCUGAUAAUUAACAAUGGACCUCACAGGAUCCCUUAUUGACACCAAUUUGAGAAUAUACCCUACUAAAGCUUUACUGGAAUUCCUUGAUGCCAUUCCAUCAAAGUAUAAUCCUCCUACAAACAUAUUAAAACUAAUAAACUGUACAGUACAAGAUAAAAAUCAAAUAGAGAAAGAAUCAAAUUCAAAACCUAUACAGCUUAAUGAUGAAGAUAUUAAAAAUGUUAAUAAAGUCAGAAUAGCUAUGCAAAUAGAUGCAGAAGAUAAUACAGAAGAGACUGAAAAAAUUGAAAGUGAGGAUGAUAAAGAUACACAAAUAAAAGAAGAAAAUAAAGAAGUAGGUAAAGAUAAGGAAACAAAAACAACUGAGAAUAAAGAUGACUCAUCAAACAAAGAUAAUAACUGUAAAAAAUCAGUGGAACUCAAGUGCCAAGAAAAAGAAAGAGAAAAUGAAAAAUUCCUAACAACAACAGAUAUAGAUUGGUUGUAUAACUAUGUUUAUGAGAGAAGAGGGGAAGGUAACAAAAAGAUUCCAUAUUUACAUGAACUUCUUAAAGGGGUUCAAGUAGAAAUGCCCAAUAAUAAGGUGAUAAAGAGAAAUCCUGUGUUAGAAGCUAGAUGUGUUAAAUUGAGAGCUCAACAAGAGGCAAGAGAAUAUAGAAAAAUGACUAAAAGUGUGGAUAAUGUUAGAAUGAGAUUUCCAGAAGAUAGUAUAAAUUAUCAAUUAAAACAAGUUAACCGCCAAUUGAUCGCCAUCGGGCAGUUCAUUAUUUCCAUAUUUGCUGGAUUUCUAUUCGGCUUCAGAGGAGUUGAGUGGAUGGUUGGCAAUCUGGACUUUGGGUUUCGACUACUUCUUGGUGUUAUGUGUGCUUUAGUCAUUGCUCUUGCGGAAAUAUAUUUCCUAGCCAAGAAGCUGAAUGAAGAGUUGAAUGUUCCGGAAACCGUUCAACUAGGCGGGCCUCCGAAAUUUGCGGAUGAUCCGAACCAAACAUAUGCGCCGACAAAUAAGGCGAUAGAAAAACAACAUCAGGAUUAAAAAUAUACUUUUAUUACAAUUUUAGUGUUAAGUAAUAAUAUAUUUUCCAGCACAAUCUGUUAAAUUACAAGGGCCUGAAAAUGGUUAUAGUUUUGUUCUUCUGACGUUGCGGUUAGUGUCUACUGUACUAUCUUAAAUAUUGUUGCCAUACGGGUGACGAGUCCUAUUUUCUGAUUGUACAGAAAAUAUAACAAUAUUGUAUAUCUACAUAAUACUAUACCUAUAUUUAAAUUUCUAUUCUUUCAGUAAUAAAAUUGUUUAUAGUGCAAA